UUUUUAAUGCAAGUGGAUCAAUUCUACUGGAUUGUAAACCGUAAAGCCACAGUCAUUUAACAUUGUAUGGAGCUUUAUUAAAAACAAGUAUUACUGGUCUGACAUAUACUUCAAAAACAUAAUUCAGACUAUUAGAGGAAUGUAACAAAUUACAUAUUAGGAGUGAAAAAAUAACUAUUGUUAAGUGUCAAUGUAAAUAAAAAUGAUUUGUACCUUAGGUCCUGGUAAUACAAAAUAAAUUUCAAACAGGGCAACAGAUUAUGUAUUAGAACUAGCAGAAUUAUAUUAGAAAUGGAAAAUGAAGAUAGGAAAAUGGUCUUACUAUUAAAGAAAUAAAAGAGAAAAGAUCAAAGGGUUUGAGAAAUUAAAAAAAGUAACAUGGAAAUAUGACAAAUGUAACUGAUAAAACUUUCACUAUUCAGAAGCAGUACAUAUAAAGAACUGAUAUAAAUAUACAUUAAAAAGCCUAGAUUUUAUUCAUUAAGUGGGCCAGAGGAAAUGGUCC
RNAcentral lists this long non-coding RNA (505 nucleotides) under Bos taurus (domestic cattle). RNAcentral describes it as "long non-coding RNA NONBTAT007324". The record is from RNAcentral. Lineage: Eukaryota; Metazoa; Chordata; Mammalia; Artiodactyla; Bovidae.